GGCUCUUUGGGGUGUCCCCGGUCACUUUGGGGUGUCCCCCCAUCACUUUGGGGUGUCCCCCCGGCUCUUUGGGGUGUCCCCGGUCGUUUUGGGGUGUCCCCCGGGCAUUUUGGGGUGUCCCCCCGAGCCCAAAGCUUUCCUAUCAUUUUCUAAUUAAAGCCUUUGCCAUUCCAGCCUCGCCGCUCCUUUGGGUUUUGGGGGGUCCGGCAGAAGCUCAUUUAUUGUGGAGCCCCAGCGCGGGGUCUGGGGGUCCCGGGGGGUCCCGGGGGUGUCCCAGGGGGUCCCGGGGGUCCCGGGGGUCACCAGCAGAGCUGCCCCGGGCAGUAUUUAUCGAUGAGGCCCUGGUAGUAACCUCGGAGUUGCUGCACAUCGGGCAGCUCCUCCUGCUUGGUGUACAGGUCAAACUUGCUGCGGGGACAAACAGGGGGGGGUCAGGGCACCCCAAAACCU
This 450-nucleotide long non-coding RNA is filed under the name Cyanistes caeruleus (blue tit). RNAcentral describes it as "lncRNA (ENSCCEG00000004869.1)". The record is from RNAcentral. Lineage: Eukaryota; Metazoa; Chordata; Aves; Passeriformes; Paridae.